GCAGUCGACGCUUCUUUUUCCACCGGAGCUUGCUCCACCGGAAAAAGAGGAGUGGCGAACGGGUGAGUAACACGUGGGUAACCUGCCCAUCAGAAGGGGAUAACACUUGGAAACAGGUGCUAAUACCGUAUAACAAUCAAAACCGCAUGGUUUUGAUUUGAAAGGCGCUUUCGGGUGUCGCUGAUGGAUGGACCCGCGGUGCAUUAGCUAGUUGGUGAGGUAACGGCUCACCAAGGCCACGAUGCAUAGCCGACCUGAGAGGGUGAUCGGCCACAUUGGGACUGAGACACGGCCCAAACUCCUACGGGAGGCAGCAGUAGGGAAUCUUCGGCAAUGGACGAAAGUCUGACCGAGCAACGCCGCGUGAGUGAAGAAGGUUUUCGGAUCGUAAAACUCUGUUGUUAGAGAAGAACAAGGAUGAGAGUAACUGUUCAUCCCUUGAC
RNAcentral lists this ribosomal RNA (443 nucleotides) under Enterococcus faecium. Its description in RNAcentral is "bacterial SSU rRNA". It matches the Rfam family "Bacterial small subunit ribosomal RNA", at positions 57 to 473 of the family's 1533-position model. Lineage: Bacteria; Bacillati; Bacillota; Bacilli; Lactobacillales; Enterococcaceae. The record is from RNAcentral.